Molecule: ribosomal RNA, 141 nt
Filed under: uncultured eukaryote
Lineage: Eukaryota
Description: partial 18S ribosomal RNA
Rfam family: Eukaryotic small subunit ribosomal RNA
Source: RNAcentral
UGGUGGAUUGAUUUGUCUGGUUGAUUCCGAUAACGAACGAGAUCUCUGCAAGAUACCUGGUCUGACAGGGCUUUUCAAAAGCCCUGCUCAGUCAGUUUCUGGACAGUGCAUGGCAAGUGCAAGGAAGUGGAGGCAAUAACA